AGAGUUUGAUCCUGGCUCAGGACGAACGCUGGCGGCGUGCUUAACACAUGCAAGUCGAACGCGCUCCAUUCGGUAGCAAUACUGAUGAAGAGUGAGUGGCGAACGGGUGAGUAGCACGUGAGCAACCUGCCCCGAAGACUGGGACAACACCGGGAAACCGGUGCUAAUACCGGAUACCCCUAUCGGACCGCAUGGUCAGA
Molecule: ribosomal RNA, 200 nt
Filed under: uncultured bacterium
Lineage: Bacteria
Description: partial 16S ribosomal RNA
Rfam family: Bacterial small subunit ribosomal RNA
Source: RNAcentral